This 1127-nucleotide long non-coding RNA is filed under the name Phoenix dactylifera (date palm). RNAcentral describes it as "long non-coding RNA (PDAC_LNC002260)". The record is from RNAcentral. Lineage: Eukaryota; Viridiplantae; Streptophyta; Magnoliopsida; Arecales; Arecaceae.
GGAACGAUAAAUUACUAGCAUAUAAAACUUGGUUCUUUAAAUAACAAAACUUUGCAAUGUCUUACACUUCUAACAAUAGUCUAAGAUAAAACAUCAAUUUAAAUAAAUCCUAAUCUAAGAUAACUUGUGCCAAGUUCUUCUAGUCGCUCUCCCAUUUUUGAAACCCCGAUAGGUUAGUUCUCGAAAUCUGUAAAACAACAAGAAAUUGUAUAAUGAGCUAGACAACCCAGUAAGUAAUAAACACCUUAACUAGUCAAUUCAUAUAAUAACAUAAAAUAUAAAUACAAAUUACGAUGAAUCAAUAUAAUAACAUAAUCAAUUCAUUUUUCAAACACAAAUUCAUUAAAAUCUGUAUCUUUCAAAUAUCUAUAUACAUAAUCAUAAAUUUGAUUCGAAAUAAAUCACAUUCAACUCAACAGCCUUUAACUACGACCACACUUAUACCCUGUGCUAGGCCAGAAACAGAACUGCACUUAUACCCUGCGGAGUGGGCCAUAAUACCGUACUUAUACCCUGCGGAGUGGGCCAGAGUACCGCACUUAUACCCUGUGGUGGGGUCAGAAUUGCCAAUGCAUAACCCCCAAUUGGCAGGGUCCAGAACAUAGUCAGGCUGAGAGUUCUAAAUCUAAUGCACAUCAAAAUUCUUUUGUUAACAUAAUAGAUAUAUCAUAAUCCGAUCUAAUAUGCAUAUAUGAUGCAAGAACAGUAAAUAUAUUCAAAAAAUAUUGUUCUAAUUCAUCUAUCUAUCUUUCAUUCAAAUCAUCAUCUCGUAAAAUUCAUAAUUCACAUAUAAAUUUAUUAACAAUUUAUUCAAUACAAAAAUAAUAUUAUAUAAAUGAAGAGUCAAGAAAAGGCAGUUCAUUACUUACAUUGAACGCGAUCCACAACAAAUCCAAUUAAUCUCAUAAAUUCCUCGCAGAACCUAAUAUCCAAAAAUUAUAUAUUUUUUUUAAUUCAUCAUAAUAUAUAUAAAACUUAAAUUUUAAUAUUCUCCCAGGGCCGACCUUGCCGAAGUGUCUAGCACCCCGAGUUCGGGUUCGGGUUCGGAUUCGGAUUCAUACCCGUAAACCACCCUCUCCCUUUAUUUAUUUAUUUAUUUAUUUUUCUUUCUUUAUUUCUUUUCUUUU